Lathyrus oleraceus (garden pea) is the source of this 2812-nucleotide RNA transcript. It is a transcript of the gene named SEC1 family transport protein SLY1, with no coding region annotated. Lineage: Eukaryota; Viridiplantae; Streptophyta; Magnoliopsida; Fabales; Fabaceae. The transcript is spliced from 3 exons. The record is from RefSeq and is a predicted model, not a curated record.
UAAUAAUAAUAGUUAUUACACAGCAGUUCACCACAGAUGUAAGAAAGGUUACAAUACGAGUAUGAGCAGCAAACAUCAAUUGAAGAUCUGAAACCCCAUCCCAUUCCCACCGAUCCCAAUUCUCAAUUCAGCAAGCUCACUCUCCAGCAUAACCAUGACUCUCAAUCUUCGCCAGAAACAAACAGAAUGCAUCGCACGAAUGCUGAACCUAAACCAACCGAUAAACGCCACCGGAACGGCGAACGAAGAAGCAUACAAGAUUCUGAUCUACGACAGAUUCUGCCAAAACAUUCUCUCUCCGUUAAUUCACGUCAAAGAUCUACGAAAACACGGCGUUACUCUCUAUUUCCUCAUCGAUAAAGAUCGCAAACCCGUUCACGACGUUCCCGCCGUUUACUUCGUUCAACCGAUUCAAUCCAAUGUUCAGAGAAUCAUCGCCGAUGCUUCUCGAUCUCUCUACCAGACUUUUCAUCUCAAUUUCUCGACCUCGAUUCCUCGUCCUCUUCUCGAAGAUCUCGCUUCGGGAACCCUAAGUUCUGAUUCGAUUCAGCGAAUUUCUAAGGUUCAUGAUCAGUAUCUUGAGUUUGUUACUCUGGAGGAUAACCUGUUUUCGUUGGCGCAGAAAUCUUGUUUCCUUCAGCUUAAUGAUCCUUCUGCUGGUGACCGUGAAAUUGAGGAUAUUGUUGAGAAGGUUGUUUCUGGUUUGUUUUGUGUUUUGGCGACUCUUGGUGUUGUGCCGGUUAUUCGGUGUCCUCGUGGUGGUGCGGCUGAGAUGGUUGCGACUGCGUUGGAUCAGCGGAUCCGUGAUCAUUUGUUGGCGAAGAAUAAUUUGUUUACUGAGGGAGGGAAUUUUGUUAGCUCUUUUCAGCGUCCUGUUUUGUGUAUCUUUGACAGGAAUUUUGAGCUUCCGGUGGCGAUUCAGCAUGAUUUUCGGUAUCGGCCGUUGGUUCAUGAUGUUUUGGGGUUGAAGUUGAAUAGGUUGAGUGUUCAAGGUGAGAAAGGUGGGAUGCGGUCUUAUGAAUUGGAUAGUGCUGAUCCGUUUUGGGUUGCCAAUGGGGGGCUCGAAUUCCCUGAGGUUGCAGUGGAGAUUGAGACUCAGCUGAAUAAGUAUAAGAAUGAUGUCGAUGAGGUGAAUAAAAGGACCGGAGGAAAUCACGGUGCUGAGUUUGAUGGGACGGAUUUGAUUGGUAACACGAAGCAUUUGAUGAGUGCUGUGAACUCUUUGCCCGAGCUUACUGAGAGGAAGCAGGUGAUUGAUAAGCAUACUAACAUUGCUACUGUGUUGUUGGGUGAGAUCAAAGAGAGGUCUCUUGAUUCUUAUGCUAAGAAGGAGAAUGACAUGAUGGUUAGAGGGGGCAUUGAGCGGAGUGAACUUCUCACUGUGCUCAGAGGGAAGGGAACCAAGAUGGAUAAGCUUCGAUUUGCAAUCAUGUAUCUUAUUUCAUCGGAAACCAUUAAUCCGACUGAAGUGGAAGCUGUGGAAACGGUGCUGAGAGAGUCUGAGGUCGAUACUGCUGCUUUUCAGUAUGUGAAAAAGAUUAAGUCUCUGAAUGUUUCAAUGGCAUCCGCAAAUUCUGCUAGUAGAAGUAAUAUUGUUGACUGGGCUGAGAAACUGUAUGGACAGUCAAUAAGUGCAGUGACUGCCGGUGUCAAAAAUCUCUUAUCUAGUGACAGGCAGCUUGCAUUGGCGAGGACUGUUGAAGCCUUGAUUGAAGGGAGACCAAAUCCUGAAACAGAUAUAUACCUGGCAUUCGAUCCUCGCGCUCCUAAGUCCGGUUCUGGAACAAGUGGAAGCCAUUUGAAAGGGCCAUUUAAGGAAGCAAUUGUGUUCAUGAUUGGUGGUGGUAAUUAUGUUGAAUAUUGUAGUCUGCAAGAGCUAGCACAAAAUCAGCAACCUCCCAAGCAUAUUAUAUAUGGAACAACCGAACUUUUAACUGGAGUGGACUUUGUAGAGCAGCUUACAUUGCUGGGGAAGAAGAUGGGUUUGGGUAAUGUUGGUCCUACCCCAGCUCAGUAGUUAAGAUGUGAAUGUAUCUGCAAUUCAGCUUGUCAAACUAUUCUUUAGUAUACAGAAGAACACUCUCAGACAUUGUGAGGCUUGAAUAGCAUGUAAUAUGCAGACACUAAACUUUCUGAAGCCAGGAAAAAUUCAAGGCAGACUAGAAGUUUUUCAUGCUUAAAUUACAUUAAGACUGAAAGCUAGCUCUGGCAGUUGUGUUGUUUGAAGACAAUAUAUGACUCAAGUGAUGAUUGUAAUGCUCUUGUGUUAGAUUAGUGUUGGGUGUAAGUGUGAGUGGUUAAAGUUCCACAUUGUCUAAGAAUGAGUGGAAUGUUGGAUUUAUAAGAGAGAUGACCAAUUUACCUAACACUUUAAGGUUUUGGAUUGAGAUGUGGUGUCUCCCUCUCUUGUCCUUCUGGAGCAUUAGUCCGGUUGGUGCUCCCGAUUCUCCCGAACUCUACUACAGUGGUAUCAGAGUUGUGAUUCGGCUUUGUGGGGAGCGGGAGUUGGAUCCGGUGUUGGAUCCUAUUAUAGGAUGUUGAAGACUUAUACUUGUGGAGGAGAAUGUUGGAUGGAAUCUAAGAUUUAUAAGAGAGAUAAUCUAUUUACCCAACACCUUAAAGUUUUUAAGAUAUCGUGUCUUCCUCUCUUGGUAAGAGGAGAUUUUGAUAAGAGGAAGGGGAUGUGAGGGAAGAAAUUGUUUGGAUCAAAAUAUCAGCCGAAAUUUAAAUUAUAUGUUUGGUUCACAAGAUGUAUUUUAAAACUAAUUUACUUAUAAUUUUAUUAUUAUAUUUAGAAUUUAAUUGAAAUACA